RNAcentral lists this ribosomal RNA (1017 nucleotides) under Triticum aestivum (bread wheat). RNAcentral's name for it is "partial small subunit ribosomal RNA". Lineage: Eukaryota; Viridiplantae; Streptophyta; Magnoliopsida; Poales; Poaceae. The record is from RNAcentral.
AUGGUAAGCAACUUGGUUCUAAUGUCGUCGAGCGGAUCUGGUCGCGGCGAUAACUCCAAUAGUAGCGGUGAUGAGUGGGUACCAAGAAGUCAACGACCACGGCAACAGAAAAGGCGAGCAAAGAAGGAAACACCUAUAGAGGUUGGUCUGCUUGAAUCCUUCAACCCCUCCCCACCCCUUUUCAUCGUCUCUAAUGCAGACAUGACACCAAAAGUUCUAGGGAAUUUUGCUCCUCGAUCGUGCCACGUCACCUUCCAUCCCCAGUGUCGUGCCACGAGUGGUGGCGGCGGGCGUUAUGUCGUGUCCCGAGCAGCCUCCCUGAGGGGUUCCCAUAGCUCCGCAACCUUGCUCAAGGUUACUCCAAUUCCAAUUGUUACUCCACCUGCAGUUCCUGCUUCAUCUCCUCAAGAGCAUGUAAACACAAAGGAAAGAGAAGGUACCAAAGAAGAUUGUACAACUAUGGCGAUCAAUGAUCGCAAAGUUACUCCGGUUCCAAGUGUUACUCCAUAUGUAGCUGUUACUCCAUCUCCUCAACAGCAUGCUAACACAAAGGAAAGAAAAAGUACUAAAGGAGAUGGUACAGCUAUGGUGACUAAUGACUGCAAUGUUACUCUAGUUCCAACUAUUACUUCAUAUGUAUUCGUUACUCCAUAUCCUCAAGAUCAUGCCAACAGAAAGGAAAGAGAAAGUAUUAAAGAAGAUGCUACAACUUUUGUGAUUAACGAUCGCAAUGUUACUCCAACUCCAACUAUUACUCCAUAUCUAGCUGUUACUCCAUCUCCUCUAGAGCAUGCCAACACAAAGGAAAGAGAAAGUAAUAAAGAAGAUGCUACAACUGUGGUGAUCAAUGACCUCAAUUUUACCAUCCAACAUGGUAUCCCAUCGGUCUACGGACCAGUCAGAAAUCCCACAAAUUGGACACAAACCAGGGGCUUUGCGUAUGUUCGGACCACUGCCACCUACACGCUCGCCACCCGAGACCCACUCAAAUCCUAUCUCACGCCCCCUCCCACAUGA